Molecule: ribosomal RNA, 115 nt
Filed under: Staphylococcus pseudintermedius
Lineage: Bacteria; Bacillati; Bacillota; Bacilli; Caryophanales; Staphylococcaceae
Description: partial 16S ribosomal RNA
Rfam family: Bacterial small subunit ribosomal RNA
Source: RNAcentral
CCGGUGGAGUAACCAUUUUGGAGCUAGCCGUCGAAGGUGGGACAAAUGAUUGGGGUGAAGUCGUAACAAGGUAGCCGUAUCGGAAGGUGCGGCUGGAUCACCUCCUUUCUAAGGA